This 301-nucleotide ribosomal RNA is filed under the name uncultured bacterium. Its description in RNAcentral is "partial 16S ribosomal RNA". It matches the Rfam family "Bacterial small subunit ribosomal RNA", at positions 509 to 807 of the family's 1533-position model. The record is from RNAcentral.
CAGUCGCCGCGGUAAUACAGAGGAUGCAAGCGUUAUCCGAAAUGAUUGGGCGUAAAGCGUCUGUAGGUGGCUUUUCAAGUCCGCUGUCAAAUCCCAGGGCUCAACCCUGGACAGGCGGUGGAAACUACCAAGCUAGAGUACGGUAGGGGCAGAGGGAAUUUCCAGUGGAGCGGUGAAAUGCGUUGAGAUCGGAAAGAACACCAACGGCGAAAGCACUCUGCUGGGCCGACACUGACACUGAGAGACGAAAGCUAGGGGAGCAAAUGGGAUUAGAUACCCCGGUAGUCCCUGUCUCUUAUAC